This 304-nucleotide ribosomal RNA is filed under the name uncultured Novosphingobium sp. RNAcentral describes it as "bacterial SSU rRNA". It matches the Rfam family "Bacterial small subunit ribosomal RNA", at positions 505 to 810 of the family's 1533-position model. Lineage: Bacteria; Pseudomonadati; Pseudomonadota; Alphaproteobacteria; Sphingomonadales; Sphingomonadaceae. The record is from RNAcentral.
GUGCCAGCAGCAGCGGUAAUACGGAGGGAGCUAGCGUUGUUCGGAAUUACUGGGCGUAAAGCGCGCGUAGGCGGUUACUCAAGUCAGAGGUGAAAGCCCGGGGCUCAACCCCGGAACUGCCUUUGAAACUGGUGACUAGAAUCUUGGAGAGGUCAGUGGAAUUCCGAGUGUAGAGGUGAAAUUCGUAGAUAUUCGGAAGAACACCAGUGGCGAAGGCGACUGACUGGACAAGUAUUGACGCUGAGGUGCGAAAGUGUGGGAGCAAACAGGAUUAGAUACCCUGGUAGUCCACACCGUAAACGAU